GACGAACGCUGGCGGCGUGCUUAACACAUGCAAGUCGAACGGAAAGGCCUGCUUUCCCUUGUGGAUUGCGGGUACUCGAGUGGCGAACGGGUGAGUAACACGUGAGUGAUCUGCCACCAAGUUGGGUAAAAGCCUGGGAUACUGGGUCUAAUUUCCGAUAGGACUGCAGGGUGGUUCCUGUGGUGGAAAACGAUAUUCUAGUGGGUGGGGAUGGGCUCGCGGCCUAUCAGCGUGGUGGUGGGGUAAUGGCCUACCAAGGCGGGGAAGGGUAGCCGGCGGGGGAGGGGGGACGGUGGCAUUGGGACUGGGACACGGCCCCGACUCGUACGGGAGGCAGGAGUGGGGGGUAAUGGACCGUGAGCGGAAGCCUGACGCAGCGACGCUGCGUGGGAGAUGAUGGCCUUCGGGUGGUAAUCUCCUUUCGAGCGAGAGGAAGACACCUGGUUGGAAGGGUGGUGACGGUAGUGGCAGAAGAAGCACCGGCUAACUACGUG
RNAcentral lists this ribosomal RNA (494 nucleotides) under uncultured bacterium. Its description in RNAcentral is "partial 16S ribosomal RNA". It matches the Rfam family "Bacterial small subunit ribosomal RNA", at positions 28 to 507 of the family's 1533-position model. The record is from RNAcentral.